Molecule: ribosomal RNA, 1438 nt
Filed under: uncultured bacterium
Lineage: Bacteria
Description: bacterial SSU rRNA
Rfam family: Bacterial small subunit ribosomal RNA
Source: RNAcentral
GUUUGAUCCUGGCUCAGGAUGAACGCCGGCGGUGUGCCUAAUACAUGCAAGUCAUACGCACUGGCCCAACUGAUUGAUGGUGCUUGCACCUGAUUGACUAUGGAUCACCAAUGAGUGACGGACGGGUGAGUAACCCGUAUGUAACCUGCCCCGGAGCGGGGGAUAACAUUUGGAAAAAGAUGCUAAUACCGCGUAACAACAGAAGCCACAUGAGCAUUUUGUUUGAGAGAUGGACUUGGCUAUCCACUCUGGGAUGGACCUGCGGUGCAUUAAGCUAGUUGGUAAGGUAACGGCUUACCAAAGGAGAUGAUGCAUAGCCGAGUUGAGAGACUGAUCGGCCACAAUGGAACUGAGACACGGUCCAUACUCAUACGGGAGGCAGCAGUAGGGAAUCUUCCACAAUGGGCGCAAGCCUGAUGGAGCAACACCGCGUGAGUGAAGAAGGGUUUCGGCUCGUAAAGCUCUGUUGUUGGAGAAGAACGUGCGUGAGAGUAACUGUUCACGCAGUGACGGUAUCCAACCAGAAAGUCACGGCUAACUACGUGCCAGCAGCCGCGGUAAUACGUAGGUGGCAAGCGUUAUCCGGAUUUAUUGGGCGUAAAGCGAGCGCAGGCGGUUGCUUAGGUCUGAUGUGAAAGCCUUCGGCUUAACCGAAGAAGUGCAUCGGAAACCGGGCGACUUGAGUGCAGAAGAGGACAGUGGAACUCCAUGUGUAGCGGUGGAAUGCGUAGAUAUAUGGAAGAACACCAGUGGCGAAGGCGGCUGUCUGGUCUGCAACUGACGCUGAGGCUCGAAAGCAUGGGUAGCGAACAGGAUUAGAUACCCUGGUAGUCCAUACCGUAAACGAUGAGUGGCUAAAGUGUUGGGAGGUUUCCGCCUCUCAGUGCUGCAGCUAACGCAUUAAGCACUCCGCCUGGGGAGUACGACCGCAAGGUUGAAACUCAAAGGAAUUGACGGGGGCCCGCACAAGCGGUGGAGCAUGUGGUUUAAUUCGAAGCAACGCGAAGAACCUUACCAGGUCUUGACAUCCAGUGCAAACCUAAGAGAUUAGGUGUUCCCUUCGGGGACGCUGAGACAGGUGGUGCAUGGCUGUCGUCAGCUCGUGUCGUGAGAUGUUGGGUUAAGUCCCGCAACGAGCGCAACCCUUGUCAUUAGUUGCCAUCAUUAAGUUGGGCACUCUAAUGAGACUGCCGGUGACAAACCGGAGGAAGGUGGGGAUGACGUCAAGUCAUCAUGCCCCUUAUGACCUGGGCUACACACGUGCUACAAUGGACGGUACAACGAGAAGCGAACCUGCGAAGGCAAGCGGAUCUCUUAAAGCUGUUCUCAGUUCGGACUGUAGGCUGCAACUCGCCUACACGAAGCUGGAAUCGCUAGUAAUCGCGGAUCAGCACGCCGCGGUGAAUACGUUCCCGGGCCUUGUACUCACCGCCCGUCA